This is a non-coding RNA of Silurus meridionalis, 403 nucleotides long. NCBI's taxonomy places the organism in Eukaryota, Metazoa, Chordata, Actinopteri, Siluriformes, Siluridae. The record is from the annotation of a RefSeq genome assembly.
GUUAUUAGCAUUAUAGAGGGUAAAAAUCAUGACUGGUAUCCUAUUAUUAAUUCUGUUUUUAUCUGAGGGCCUCAGUAUAAGACAAUCCCCGGAUCUUUCUGAUUAUGAGGGUCAGAAAGUGACUCUUCAGUGUACUCAGGUCGACACCUCCUAUAACGCCAUGUACUGGUUCAGACAAAGACCCUUUGAAUCCUUGGAGCUUAUUGUACACAACUAUGUUACUAUUGACACAAUAGAAGACAAAUUUAAAGAGAAAUUUAUUGCUGUAAAAAAUGGCCACUCUCUGGAUUUGACUGUAAAGGAUUUGCAGAGCACAGACAGUGGUGUCUACUUCUGCGCAAAACAGGAUGCACAGCAUGACAACCUAAUCUUUAACCUGAACAAGAACUGCACCACCCCAUAA